UGCUACACAUGCAGUCGACGAUGACCCGGAGCUUGCUCUGGGGGAUUAGUGGCGAACGGGUGAGUAACACGUGAGUAACCUGCCCUUGACUCUGGGAUAACCUCCGGAAACGGAAGCUAAUACCGGAUAUGACGCACGGAGGCAUCUCCUGUGCGUGGAAAGAACUUCGGUCAAGGAUGGACUCGCGGCCUAUCAGGUAGUUGGUGAGGUAACGGCCCACCAAGCCUACGACGGGUAGCCGGCCUGAGAGGGUGACCGGCCACACUGGGACUGAGACACGGCCCAGACUCCUACGGGAGGCAGCAGUGGGGAAUAUUGCACAAUGGGCGCAAGCCUGAUGCAGCAACGCCGCGUGAGGGACGACGGCCUUCGGGUUGUAAACCUCUUUUAGUAGGGAAGAAGCGAAAGUGACGGUACCUGCAGAAAAAGCACCGGCUAACUACGUGCCAGCAGCCGCGGUAAUACGUAGGGUGCAAGCGUUGUCCGGAAUUAUUGGGCGUAAAGAGCUCGUAGGCGGUUUGUCGCGUCUGCUGUGAAAUCCCGAGGCUCAACCUCGGGCCUGCAGUGGGUACGGGCAGACUAGAGUGCGGUAGGGGAGAUUGGAAUUCCUGGUGUAGCGGUGGAAUGCGCAGAUAUCAGGAGGAACACCGAUGGCGAAGGCAGAUCUCUGGGCCGUAACUGACGCUGAGGAGCGAAAGCGUGGGGAGCGAACAGGAUUAGAUACCCUGGUAGUCCACGCCGUAAACGUUGGGAACUAGAUGUGGGGACCAUUCCACGGUCUCCGUGUCGCAGCUAACGCAUUAAGUUCCCCGCCUGGGGAGUACGGCCGCAAGGUAAAUA
This 840-nucleotide ribosomal RNA is filed under the name Leifsonia sp. 19-3pA. RNAcentral's name for it is "bacterial SSU rRNA". It matches the Rfam family "Bacterial small subunit ribosomal RNA", at positions 45 to 899 of the family's 1533-position model. The record is from RNAcentral. Lineage: Bacteria; Bacillati; Actinomycetota; Actinomycetes; Micrococcales; Microbacteriaceae.